RNAcentral lists this ribosomal RNA (1089 nucleotides) under Triticum aestivum (bread wheat). RNAcentral describes it as "partial small subunit ribosomal RNA". Lineage: Eukaryota; Viridiplantae; Streptophyta; Magnoliopsida; Poales; Poaceae. The record is from RNAcentral.
AUGAUGGCAGAAUUUGAUCCUGUAAUGCAAGAGCAUCUUCGGCACAUUAAGAAUAGUGAAAUUCAUCAUCAUUAUCUUGGCCAUAAUAUUCAGAAUGAGUUAAUUUCCCUUCUUGGUCGCACUGUUAAAUAUUCUCUGUUGAGGAUAAUUAAGGAUGCAAGGUAUUUCUCUGUCAUCUUGGACUGUACACCUGACAUGAGCCAUCAAAAACAAAUGACUCUAAUUGUGAGGUGCGUAAACAUGUCAAGUACUACUACAAAAAUAGAGGAGUUUUUUCUGGAACUACUUGAAACUAAUCCAAGAGCAUUAUUCAUGCCAUGCGCUUGUCAUAGCCUGAACCUUACUCUUAGUGAUAUGGCAAAAUCUUGCGGUAAAGCUGUUACCUUCUUUGGUGUUGUGCAAAGAAUUUAUAUAUUGUUUUCAAGCUCUACUAAAAGAUGGCAGCUAUUGCUUGAUCAUGUUCCAAAAAUGACAGUUAAGUCUUUGUGUAACACUCGAUGGGAGAGUCGAAUAAAGAGUGUUCAGGCUAUCAAAUAUCAAGCACCCGAGUUAAGAAAAGCAUUACUGGAAUUGAAGAGAACUUCUACCGAUGACGCCAAGACUAAGAGCGACGCAAAAUCUUUGGCUAGCGCACUUGAGAAAUUUGAAUUUUUACUUGGCAUGUGCAUUGAUGUUACUCUUAAACAGAUUGAAGGUGCCAUCUCAUAUUUUAAGAAGUACAGAAAUGACGGCUUUGCAACUAGUCUGGAUAUUGCGAGAUCUAUUGCAAUUGACAUGGGUGUACAACCUUUGUUUCCUGUCAAGAGACAUAUUACUAGAGUUAAAUACUUUUUGGCGAUGAUUGAUGUUGCAAUUGCUUCCCUAACUACUAGAUUUGAGGAACUGAAGACAUUUGGGAGCAUAUUUGGUUUCUUGUUCAACUCGAAAGAGUUGAAGUCCUUGGGUGAUAAUGAUCUAAGAAGAUGUUGCACUAAUUUUGUCAACAAAUUCACUCAUGGUAAGUCAGCAGAUGUCGAUCUAGAUGAUUUCGUUUCUGAACUAAAAGUACUGCAGAUGACAUUACCAAACACAUUCAUGUCAGCGGAUUAG